CCGGUCCGCCUCGUGGACGCCCCGAACGCGCAGCGGCCCACCCGGUUACUCUGGCCAGGUGCGCCCACCGCGGAGAGUUCCACGGAACGCGCAAAGCCGACAGCCGUCGCACCAUAAGGGAGCCCCUUUCAUG
This 133-nucleotide small RNA is filed under the name Streptomyces sp. CdTB01. RNAcentral describes it as "Streptomyces-metH RNA". It matches the Rfam family "Streptomyces-metH RNA". Lineage: Bacteria; Bacillati; Actinomycetota; Actinomycetes; Kitasatosporales; Streptomycetaceae. The record is from Rfam by way of RNAcentral.